GACGAACCCGUCCAAACGUUAUUCGGAAUCACUGGGCUUAAAGGGUGCGUAGGCGGCGCGGAAAGUUGGGUGUGAAAUCCCUCGGCUCAACCGAGGAACGGCGCCCAAAACUUCCCUGCUCGAGGAAGAUAGAGGUGAGCGGAACUUAGGGUGGAGCGGUGAAAUGCGUUGAUAUCCUAAGGAACACCGGUGGCGAAAGCGGCUCACUGGAUCUUUUCUGACGCUGAGGCACGAAAGCUAGGGUAGCGAACGGGAUUAGAACCU
Molecule: ribosomal RNA, 264 nt
Filed under: uncultured bacterium
Lineage: Bacteria
Description: partial 16S ribosomal RNA
Rfam family: Bacterial small subunit ribosomal RNA
Source: RNAcentral